This 441-nucleotide ribosomal RNA is filed under the name Streptococcus sp. oral taxon 064. RNAcentral's name for it is "bacterial SSU rRNA". It matches the Rfam family "Bacterial small subunit ribosomal RNA", at positions 28 to 461 of the family's 1533-position model. The record is from RNAcentral. Lineage: Bacteria; Bacillati; Bacillota; Bacilli; Lactobacillales; Streptococcaceae.
GACGAACGCUGGCGGCGUGCCUAAUACAUGCAAGUAGAACGCUGAAGGAGGAGCUUGCUCUUCUGGAUGAGUUGCGAACGGGUGAGUAACGCGUAGGUAACCUGCCUGGUAGCGGGGGAUAACUAUUGGAAACGAUAGCUAAUACCGCAUAACAGUAGAUGUCGCAUGACAUUUGCUUAAAAGGUGCAAUUGCAUCACUACCAGAUGGACCUGCGUUGUAUUAGCUAGUUGGUGAGGUAACGGCUCACCAAGGCAACGAUACAUAGCCGACCUGAGAGGGUGAUCGGCCACACUGGGACUGAGACACGGCCCAGACUCCUACGGGAGGCAGCAGUAGGGAAUCUUCGGCAAUGGACGGAAGUCUGACCGAGCAACGCCGCGUGAGUGAAGAAGGUUUUCGGAUCGUAAAGCUCUGUUGUAAGAGAAGAACGAGUGUGAGAG